AUCCAGUCCCCAAGAGAGGGUUCUUGGAUCUCGCGCAAGGAAGAAUUCAGGACGAAUCUAUAAAAUGAAAGCAAGUUUAUUAAGAAAGUAAAGAAACAAAAGAACCAGUACUCCAUAGGCAGAGCAGCCUUGGCUUGCUUCUUUGUGAGGGUGGCCCACGGAGGGGCAGCAAGGCUGGUGAAUCACCUCCCUGGCUAGUUCCUCCAAGGCAGAGCUGCCAACCAAGGCCAACUUGGUUCAGCACACAGAAUAUUUACCACGAAUCUAAGAGUUUGCCAAAAUUUCAAAAUCAGGAGAUUUCACGCAAAAAGUUGGAAGAUGUGACCGCCCUGGGCCCACAUUCCCGCCUGGCCUGGCACUAGCUGGGUGGGGCUGAGGAGUAGCUGCUCUCCAAGAGCCCUGCUCGCCAAACCUCUCCUCCCCUUUCCCCCAUGCUACCUCACUCACUGCUGUCUGUGUGCUUGUCCCUUUCACAUUUGCAUUUGCAAAGCCUGUUCUAACCUAACAUGGUUUCCGUAGUGAUCUUUAAACAUUAAAUUUGAAGCUAACAAGGAACAGGUUCCCUCAAAAUACCCCAAGAUGACUUUCUUGCCAAUAUUCCCUGAACUCUUUACAAAGUGGCCAGCAAGGCACCUCCCCAAGUGGAGUUAAACUAUGUAAAUGUACACAAAACAAGUAAGAUUGGAAAUAUCCAAAUGUUCAUCUCCAGUGAAAUAACUUUCCAGCCAGAAUCAGUAAGAAGCAGCUAAGCCUAACUAACUACAGAUCUGAUCUGUGGUUCUUGAUUUUUCAUACGUAUAAAAAUCUCACCGGACGUCUUGCUGAGCCUCACCCCCAAGAUUCUGAUGCAGGAGAUGUAGGGUGGGGCUGAGAAUUUGCAUUUCUAAUAACUUCGCAGGUAGUGCUGCUGCUGCUGGCCCUGGACUACCUUUUGAGAAUCACUGAUGCAUGCCACUCAAAAUGCAGUCCUCAGGCUGGGCGCGGUGGCUCACACCUGUAAUCCUAGCACUUUUGGGAGGCCGAGGUGGGCGGAUCACCUGAGGUCGGGAGUUUGAGACGAGCCUGACUAACAUGGAGAAACCCCGUCUCUACUAAAAAUACAAAAUUUGCCGGGCAUGGUGGUGCAUACCUGUAACCUCAGCUACUCAGGAGGCUGAGGCAGGAGAAUCGGUUGAACCUGGGAGGCAGAGGUUGCAGUGAGUCGAGAUCAUGCCACUGCACUCCAGCCUGGGCAACAAGAGUGAAACUCCGUCUCAAAAAAAAAAAAAAUUUAAUUUAAUUUAAAAAAAGCAGUCAUCGGGCUGCAAGCCUGGCAGCUUGUUAGAAAUGGAGACUCUCUCAGCCCUUCUCUAGACCAGUGGAAUCGGGGGGCUGCAGGUGAUUAGUAGGAAUGUGAAAUUUUCAGAUGCACUAGACCAACUCAUUGUUCCCAAACCUUCCUGGUCAAAACAACUUGGGGCAUUUGUUGAGUCUACAGAAUGCCAGGCCUUUCCCUUAGAGAUUCUAAUUCAGAAAUCUACUUUUGGCAAGCACUCCAGGUAAUUCCUGUCAUCAGGGAAUUUUAGGGAAAACAGGCUAAUGGUAUUAAUACAUCUAAAGAAAGAAUAUGUCAACAAAAUGGAGAUGAGCAAGUGAAGGAGGAAGAUGGGAAAUCUGAGGGGAGAGAACUCCUAGCGUGUGUCUUCAACCUGUAGCCCCCGUAUGCGUUCCUUUUGCAGAGAGAGAUGUUAUCAAAUUGUCGUAUCCUCUGCAGAACCAAACCAUACACCGUAUUCCUUUUAUUCGGGCCCCUUCUCAUCAAGGAACCUCGUCAUUAUAAUUUGGCUUCCAUCCUCUUUUCACCCCGGGGGAAACACGCAAGCCAGAGCAAUAUAAAUAUUCUGAUUUGAGUGAGAGGUACAUUUCUCCCUGUGAAUCAAGAAAUCAUAAAAAGGCCAGGCACAACGGCUCACGCCUGUAAUCUCAACACUUUGGGAGUCCGAGAUGGGAGGAUCGCUUGAGCCCAAGAGUUCAAGACCAGCCUGGGCAACAAAGGGAGACUACAAAAAUAAAUAAUAAAUACAUAAAAAUUAGCUAGGCAUGGCAGUGCAUGCCUGUGGUUUCAGCUACUUGUGGGGCUGAGGUGGGAGGACCACUUGAGCCCAGGAGGCUGAGGCUGCCAUAAACUGUGAUGAUGGCCACUGCACUCCAGCCUGGGUGACAGAGCAAGACCCUGUCUAAAAAAAAAAUAGAAGUAAAAAAGAAGAAAUCAUAAUUAAAUGUUACAUUAUACUGUUGAUACAUUAUACUGUUUGUUUUAUUGGUGUAUCUAAGAAAUCAAGCCACUUUUGUUUUAACAGCAACAUAAAAUUUCUGUUUGAGAAAGAGACAAAUACUUUUGCCCAUAAAGGGGUUUCUUAAAUGUGGAUUCCACUGUGCAGUUUUUAACUUCUUUAAACAUUCAUUUAAGCAAGUCAGAUUUUCUUUGGAAAGGAGAAUUACAUUAGCAAAUAAUAAAAAUGUGCAAAAAAUGCAAGAAUAAAAACAUCUGAAAAAGCAGGGCUGAUGAUAAAACUUUCUAAACUAGUAUAUUCUUUCAGUGUUUAUAAAUGUAAUAUUGCCCUUGGUGAGUCACAUCUCUCCCAUUAAUCCAUCUCCCUAAUGUUCUAGGAGGAGGGUGAAAUUUUGUCCUUGUGUAUAUAAGACCUAAACUGUUACUGACCCCACCUCCUAAGUACAUUUCCCCAAAUUUCAGAUAUUUCCAAAGUCCUUUCAUGAAAUGCAAAUCUCUGAAUGUUGGCCCUCACUGUCUGUUAUUCUAUUCACCACCUAAUCCCAGAAUUUUCGUCUGGGAAGUUAACAAAUUCCUCAGCAACGUUGAAACAUAUUAUUUCUAUUAAGGUUUCAAGUGAUUAGUCUUCUUCUGUAAGUCAAACAGAGGAUCAGUUAGUCUGGAGAAAUGUUUUAAUAAAAGUCCCAUUCUAAAUAGAUUUUUUUUUUUUUUUUUGAGACAGAGUUUUGCUCUGUCACUCAGUGGCACGAUCACGGCUCACCGCAGCCUCAAACUCCUAGGUUCAGCCAAUCCUCCCAUUUCAGCUUCCCAAGUAGCUGGAACCACAGAUGCCUACCACUACGCCCAGUUAAUUUUUUAAAUUAUUUGUAGAGAUGGGGUCUCCCUGUGUUGCCCAGGCUGGUCUCAAACUCCUGAACUCCUGGGCUCAAACAGUCCUCCCGCCUCGGCCUCCCAAAGUGCUGGGAUUACAGGUGUGAGCCACUGCUCCCAGCCUGGCUGUUUCACCUUCUUAUCAUUUGUGUGUUCACUGGAGUAGCACUUUUAACUGCCUGCUUUCAAUAAUGGAAAAAACCGUAAUGCUUUUAUGACAUAGUUGGUCAUGAUGAAGGAAUAACUGGGAAGAGGGAGAAGCCCCAAAUUACCCUGUUUUUGUUAGUGGUUUUUUGUUUCUGUGGGAAGCUGGUUUUGGAAUAAGAAUUAUAUCUAAUCUAAUCUAACAGUUUAGCGAAAUGGUAGCGAGGGGUGGUAGAUACAGAGAAUGACGUCAGCCAUUCUUAGCAGGGAGGGAGUUAACGUCUGUGCUGUGGCUUGGAGGUGGCAGAGGAGAGUGCACACUUCACUUGGAACUCGCUGCAGGAGACUGAGCCAGUUAGAGGCACCAAGGCAUUCUGAGUCCCCAGGGAUCCAGCAAAUGGGAGACAAAUGUCAGGGUGACAAGGUAAUCAUUGGUAUCAGGGUUAUAAUCUCCUAAAGGCCCAGGCACCCCUUGGUCCAGAAGGCAUGGUGUCCCCAGGGACAUUCCCAGGGGUUGGGGGAGGGUGGGCAAGAGUGUUUCCACUCAGCCUGUGGCUUUGAGAGCUGACAGCUGUGGGCAGGGCCUCUUGUGAUGCCCUAUACUCCCAGUCUGGUGGGGAAAAACUACUAACCUCUAGGGGCAGCACCCUGGGGUCAGCCCUGAGGGAACAGUAUGUUAUUAGCAGGAGGGGACUGGUACCCUAAGGUUCUCCGCACUAGGCAAGGAGCAAAGCAUUUGGGGACAGCCAUCUCCUCUUCUACCACACAGUUUAAAUCACAUUUUCCUCUUCUGGGGUAUUUUGAAG
Molecule: long non-coding RNA, 4092 nt
Filed under: Homo sapiens (human)
Lineage: Eukaryota; Metazoa; Chordata; Mammalia; Primates; Hominidae
Description: HSALNT0065359
Source: RNAcentral